Molecule: long non-coding RNA, 3155 nt
Organism: Cavia porcellus (domestic guinea pig)
Lineage: Eukaryota; Metazoa; Chordata; Mammalia; Rodentia; Caviidae
Exons: 2
Source: RefSeq, a predicted model, not a curated record
GAAGGGGAGGAGGGGGAGGGGAGAAGGAUGCACCCCUGCACCUGGCUUCAAUUAGACUCUGAUUGGGAGUUUAGCUAUAUAUUUUUCUGUAAUAAUGGCAGUGUAUGUAAAUUUUGGGCACACUAAUAAGGAGCCGUGAGAAACAACAUGCAAAGUCUUCUGAGUCGAGGUGCUUCCAAGUCGCAAACUUGCCUAGGUCCAGUUUCACGCAGUGACUGCAACUUCACAGCGAAAUGUUGAUCAAGAGGAAAACAAGAUUCAGCCCCCAAAAACAUGUGCUCCGUUUUCAAUGUCACCUGAAACCAGAGAAGAAUCUUCAGCAGCCAGUUUCUCAUGCUGGUCAUACAAAUGUAGAUGCUGUGGAGGCUCUGCAGUCACUUAAUAAUGUACAGUCAAAUCACCUGACCUCCGGACAUCAGUUUCCAGCCCCCUGAAGUGAUGUGAUUGUAAUCUGUCAGUGUUUGCUCAGAGAGUUCUUGUCAUCUAUCAUGGCUCUUGUGGUGCAAAAAGAUUAUGCAAGGGAAAAGGGGAGUCUGGCUGUCCAUGCCAUAACCAGGUCUCGGACUCUCCCACUGAUCUGGUUUAAAGGACACUGGGCUAAAGUUCUCUAUGAUCCUUUCCAGCUUUAAACAUUAAAAGAAAUUAUUGUGUUUCUUCAAUAGAGCAUUAUUCAAUUCAUUGGAAUUUGUCAAUGAUUUAGUACUUUAAGUUGUUUUAUUAAAUCUGCAUAUUUUGUAGCAGAUAGUGCUUUUCAAGGUUAUGGUUGACUGAUCUCAACAACCCAUGGAAUACAGCUGGUUUAAUAUUACCACAAUGAGCAGGGAAAUAUACCACAAAGUUAACACCAGUGUUUAACAGACCUGGACAGCUUCUUUGUUUUACCCCGCAGCUGUCAAACUAACAAAUCAUUGGAUCAUUCUUUCUACCAGGAUAUAGGUGUUAAAUAGAGCCUCAAGGUGAAAGCACCAUUUGGCAAGUUAUCAAGUCUGGGCUAAAUAACUGUUGAUGCUUUGAAAGUAUGAUUUAACCACCUGCUAGUGAUGGGAUGUGUCCUGGGAACUUAGCCACUGGGGAAAGUUCAGCAGUGAUCCCUAAUUACUCCAGUAUGCUCUGAUGUGAAAACCCCACUGAUAAUCAGUAUGAGUCCCAUUAUUCCUUGAGGUGGUGGCAUGCAAGUACUAUCAUUUUACACCUAGGACAGGUGGCUACAAACACCUGCCAGCUGAACAAUCAUUAAUAACUGGCAAUUAUGGAGAGUUGGUCAUGAACCAGGCACACUGCUAAGUCAUCUACAAGUACUAAGUCAUUUAAUCUCUAAGGACUUAUGAGGAAAGUACAGUUAUUAAUCUCAUCAUAUAUAUAUAUGUAUAUACAUAUAUAUAUAUAUAUAUAUAUAUAUAUAUAUAUAUAUAAUAUGAUUGAAGUGAAGAGAGGUUAAAUAACUGCCCCCAAAUCACACAGCUGGAAAGCGACAGAGUGGGACUUGCACUCACAUUUUAAGAAAAUUUGUAUGCAUGCUUUUUAUAUGAAUCUUUUGACCAGAGUGUCCUUGUCAUUGCUGGAGUCACUGUUGAUGAAUAACCUUUUUUUUUAAAAAAGAAAUCACAAUUCUGGACAGUAAAAAGUCAGGGGACAUCACAAUCCAUGACCUGAAAUUAUACUACAAAGCUACUGUGAUAAAAUCAGCAUGGUAUUAUUUAAAAAAAAAAAAAAAAAAAACAAACAGACCUGAGGAUAGUUGAACAGAAGAUACAGAUGGAACUCCAAACACACUCAGCCACUUUAGUUUUGACAAAGAAGCCUGUUCACUGGAAGAAGGAUAGUCUCGUAAAGAAAUAAUGCUGGGAAAACCGGCUUUCCACAUGUUGAGGAAUAAAAUUAGACCUAUGUCUAUCACCAGGUACUAAACUAAAGUCAAAAUGGCUUAAAGAUCCAAACAUUAUAGCAGAAACACUAAAUUAAUUGGAAGAAAAUAUAGGCAGAAAUCUUGAAGAUAUAGGGGUAGGCAGAGGCGUCAUAAAUAAAACCCAGACUGUUCAGGAAAUGCUAUGAAGAAUCAACAAAUGGGAUCUCAUUAAAAAGCUUUUGCACAACAAUAUAAAUUACCAACAGUGAAAAGACAGCCCAAAGAGUGGGAAAAUAUUGUAGCCAGUUGUCUUCAAGACAAAGAACUUACAUCUAGAACAUAUAAAGAAAUGAAAAAAACUAGGCCUCUAAAAUUCAAAGAUCCGAUCUAAAAAUGGGUAUCUGAGAUGAAUACACAUUUCUCUAAUGAGUAAAUACAAAUGGCAAAUAGAUACAUGAAAAGAAUGUUCACCAUCAUUGGUGAUUCAAGAAAUGUAAAUUAAAGCAACACUGAGAUUCCAUCUCACCAUGGAAAGAAUGGCUACCACCAAGAAAUAAAUCAAUAACAAAUCCUGUAGGGGCUGUGGGGAAAAAGAAACCCUUUUCCACUGUUGGUAGGAGUGUGGACUGGUGCAACCACUGUGAAAAUCCAUGUGGAGAUACUUAAAAAAAAAAAAAAGGAAUAGAGUUUCCAUUUGACCCAGAUAUUCCUCUGCUGGAUAUCUUCCCAGAAGAAUUAGAAACAUCAUACCACAGUGAUAUAUGUACAACCAUGUUUAUAGCAGCACAAUUUGUAAUAGCUAGAUUUUUGCAAACAAUCCAAAUACCUGUCAACUAAGGAAUUAAAAAGAUGCAGUCUUUUUAUACAGUAGAAUUCUACUCAGCCAUAAAAGAUAAACUGGACCUUUAAAAGUAAAUGGAUGCAACUGGAGACCAUACUCAUAAGUGAAAUAAACCAGAGUCACACGUAUAAACAUCGUAUUGUCUCCCUAGUGAGGGAAGCUGAAAAAGUAAAUAACAUCCAAACAUACUGUAGAUAUUGUGAAAUGGGAAGAAACUGUUCAAAAUGAAAGAGAAACUGAGCUGGGGAUAGGAGAGAAGAAGGAAGGGAGAGAAGCAACAAAUAUAUAUGAUAGUUAUGCUAAUUUCUCUGCUGCGAAACGUUUGUGCUAAUAUUGUCUGAACAAUUAAAUAUCUAUAUCUUGUACUCUGAGUAACUGAUUUAAAGAACAAUAUCCACUGUAUUGAUCAUUGUUAUUCUCCUACAGUUUUGAAAUAUUUUUUCUUUAAAAUAAACAAACUUGAAUCUA